AAGCUCGUAGUUGAACCUCGGUACCUAAGGGGUAAGCGUCAUCGUUCCUGUUCUCUCGAAUGGAAGAGUAGAGGCGGUCGGUGGCGUCCCCUUGGGGCCCCAAUGGCGGGCUGACCCUUUAUAAGUGGUUGGAGCGCGAGGUGCCCUUUGUCGGGUGUCUCGUGCGACCCGCCGGUUCACCUUGAAGAAACUGGAGUGCUCAGAGCAGGCGCGGCCCUUGGGGCCGAAACGCCUGCACAACAUCGCAUGGAAUGAUUGAACAAGACCUCGGCUCAAUCUCUGUUGGUCUGACGAGGCUGAGGUAAUGAUUAACAGGAACGGACGGGGGCAUCCGUACUGCGACGCUAGAGGUGAAAUUCUUGGACCGUCGCAGGACGAACAAAAGCGAAAGCAUUUGCCAAGAACGCUUUCAUUAAUCAAGAACGAAAGUCAGAGGAUCGAAGGCGAUCAGAUACCGCCCUAGUUCUGACCGUAAACUAUAUGAACCAGCGAUCCGCUGAACGCCCAGCACGACGGCUCAGCGGGAAGUCUCCGGGAAACCAGAGUCUUUGCAUUCUGGGGAGAUUAUGUUUGCAAAUACGAAAUUUGAAGGAAUUGACGGAAGGGCACCACCAGGAGUGGAGCCUGCGGCUUAAUUUGACUCAACACGGGGAACCUCACCGGGCCCGGACACCGGAAGGAUUGACAGAUUGAGAGCUCUUUCUCGAAUCGGUGGGUGGUGGUGCAUGGCCGUUCUUAGUUGGUGGAGCGAUCUGUCUGGUUAAUUCCGAUAACGAACGAGACUCCAACCUGCUAACUAGACGGCGGACACGUAAACGGCUGGUGAAGGGUACGGGGCAAUUGUGCGUUCGGUUGUGGACUUUGUGGAUAUGGUUUUGGCACUCCUUUCUGGGGAGUCUGCUGGGCCUUGAAGCUUAGUUUUGCUUCCGUUUCGUCUUUUGUCUGCCGCCUUUGCCCACCUGCUUGAUGGGUGCUCAUUGGGGCUGUUGGCUUAAUCCCGAGUGCUGCUGCUGC
RNAcentral lists this ribosomal RNA (1014 nucleotides) under Tethysbaena ledoyeri. RNAcentral's name for it is "SSU rRNA". It matches the Rfam family "Eukaryotic small subunit ribosomal RNA", at positions 624 to 1400 of the family's 1831-position model. Lineage: Eukaryota; Metazoa; Arthropoda; Malacostraca; Thermosbaenacea; Monodellidae. The record is from RNAcentral.